Molecule: non-coding RNA, 136 nt
Organism: Hordeum vulgare subsp. vulgare (domesticated barley)
Lineage: Eukaryota; Viridiplantae; Streptophyta; Magnoliopsida; Poales; Poaceae
Source: Rfam
CUACUACUCCCUCCGUCCCAAAAUUCUUGUCUUAGAUUUUUCUACAAAUGGAUGUAUCUAAAUACCAAAAGAUGACUAGAUACAUUCAUACCUAGAUAAAUCUAAGACAAGAAUUUCGGGACAGAGGGAGUACUUU